This 465-nucleotide ribosomal RNA is filed under the name uncultured bacterium. RNAcentral describes it as "bacterial SSU rRNA". It matches the Rfam family "Bacterial small subunit ribosomal RNA", at positions 330 to 792 of the family's 1533-position model. The record is from RNAcentral.
GCCAGACUCCUACGGGAGGCAGCAGUGAGGAAUAUUGGUCAAUGGGCGCGAGCCUGAACCAGCCAAGUAGCGUGAAGGAUGACUGCCCUACGGGUUGUAAACCUCUUUUGCCGGGGAGCAACGGGGUCCUUGCGAGGGCCCGAUGAGAGUACCCGGAGAAAAAGCAUCGGCUAACUCCGUGCCAGCAGCCGCGGUAAUACGGAGGAUGCGAGCGUUAUCCGGAUUUAUUGGGUUUAAAGGGUGCGUAGGCGGGCUGUUAAGUCAGCGGUCAAAUGUCGGGGCUCAACCUCGGCCUGCCGUUGAAACUGGCGGCCUCGAGUGGGCGAGAAGUAUGCGGAAUGCGUGGUGUAGCGGUGAAAUGCAUAGAUAUCACGCAGAGCUCCGAUUGCGAAGGCAGCAUACCGGUGCCCGACUGACGCUGAGGCACGAAAGCGUGGGUAUCGAACAGGAUUAGAUACCCCUGUA